RNA transcript from Fragaria vesca subsp. vesca, 963 nucleotides. RefSeq lists it as uncharacterized. Lineage: Eukaryota; Viridiplantae; Streptophyta; Magnoliopsida; Rosales; Rosaceae. The record is from RefSeq and is a predicted model, not a curated record. The transcript has 2 exons.
UAAAACCAUCUCUAUCAAGAUGACAGAUCUAUUCUCUGUACUAGCCAUAGGAUCAAUUAUACCAAGUCACACACUCAUAUUCCGGAAAUACAGAAAAAAAUAAAUUCCACGGUCGAACUACCAAAAUAGAAUGGGAUAAAAACCAGAAAACUAAAUGCAAUGUUUCACUUUGUAUUGAAAAAGCUAGUUAAUGGUUCUUGUAAAUCUAAUUCAUUGAAAUUCCAUCCAGUAAAAUGGACGAAUUAUAAAUCUCCAAAAUAAUAGAUAGAAAUACUGCAAAUAGAGCCAUUGACGAGACCCAUCAAAGGAGUAGUUCCCCAACCAGGAGCUACCUUACCAUAUUCUGAAUUCAAUGGUUUCAAUAAACCCCCGGCCCUAGUUCGUUUUGGGCGGCCAGAUCUAGAACUACCCUCAACGGUUUGUGUAGCCAUAAUAUUUUAUAUUCAUUAAGAUCUGUUGACUUUGUAUACCAUUCCGUUGUAAAUAAAUGAUCUUAUCAUAGAUCCAUUGUGGUCUUAAAACUACAUAAUGUACUUAAAACUAUAUAAUAAUGGAAACAGCAACCCUAGUUGCCAUCUUUUUAUCUGGUUUACUUGUAAGUUUUACUGGGUACGCCUUAUAUACUGCGUUUGGGCAACCCUCUCAACAACUAAGAGAUCCGUUCGAGGAACACGGGGACUAGUCGAAAUAAUGAAAAAUCAUUUCCCCCUUUUACUUUUUGGUUGGAACUUUAGGCGGUUCGCGAAAAAAGAUAGCGAAAAAAAUUAUUCCUAGAGUUGAGACUAAAAGGAAUGUAUAAACCAAUGCUUCCAUAGAUUCGAUCGUGGUUUACAAUUAUAGCUUCCAUAUCUGUUUAGUUUGGACCGUCUUCCGGAUAAAGAAAGAACAAAAAUCAAAGAAAGGGCAACGAGUCAAAUGUCAAAUCAAGAUUUAUCCGGUACCCCAACCUUAUGUCAGUCAAAU